This 229-nucleotide ribosomal RNA is filed under the name uncultured bacterium. Its description in RNAcentral is "partial 16S ribosomal RNA". It matches the Rfam family "Bacterial small subunit ribosomal RNA", at positions 568 to 796 of the family's 1533-position model. The record is from RNAcentral.
UGCGUAGGCGGAUUAAUAAGUCAGUGGUGAAACCCUGCAGCUUAACUGCAGACCUGCCAUUGAUACUGUUAGUCUUGAGUACGGUCAAGGUAGGCGGAAUGUGUAAUGUAGCGGUGAAAUGCUUAGAUAUUACACAGAACACCGAUUGCGAAGGCAGCUUACUGGGCCAUUACUGACGCUGAGGCACGAAAGCGUGGGGAGCGAACAGGAUUAGAUACCCUGGUAGUCC